CGCACACGAUGCCAAAUGGCCUAGGACAAAAACAAAAGGCCUGGCUUGCUCCAAAGUUUCAGUGAGAAACUUUGAGUUACUUCCUGUGCUUGGGUUUUCUUUGAGUAGGAACUAUGCGAGCAUUUUAGCAGCGUCACCAUCGAGUCCGGAACCCAGCAAAAAAAAACCCCUUUUAUAGAAUGAUGUCGCCCCUCUUUAUAGGAAGUCCUUCAGGAUUAAGGUGGAUUUCGUGGCAAUUAGUGAACUGUUCAGUUAUGUCAAUAUCAAUCCGUUAGAGAGAAUUUUCCCCAUAUAUUGUGGAGACCAAUUUAGCUAGGUGUCAAAUCUAAGAGAAACCGGUGGAUUUGUCUUGUAGUUGGGUCUCUUGCAUCCGUCGACUUGGAGUGGUCCCUGUGAGUAUUAGCCGACGAUCUUCGCGUGUGGGGGGUACUCGACAGGAUUUCAAGCAUUCCGCUACCCCUAUAUUGUUUUAACGGAUAUAAGCUGGCAUUCUUCCCAACUUUGGUUUUGGCUGGAGGAUCAUCAUUUUGAUGGGUUAAUAUGCAGUCCAAUUGAGCUGAUAUGUAGUUGUUGCCGGUUGUGUCAUUUACUGCAGGAUAACGGUGCGGGUUCACGCACUGAUGCGAAUUGGCCGGUUCGUUAUAGUCCCGUGGCAAACACUUGAUUUUUAGUCAACCUAUCCAAAACAUGGAAACACGGUCCUUCAAAAAUCAAUGUUGUUAUCUUAGGGUCUAUGUUAUUGCUGAUACAUGUAGUGUGUCAGUCGACUAGCACGCAUCCCAGGUUCAUAUGUUGGUUUCACCGGAGACCUUAUAUGCAUAUUCCGCUGUUUGAAACUGUUGCGGUAGCUGGGACCAUUGCUGCUAAGGUAUUGACUUUAAGAGUUGUUGCUAGAUGUUUGUUAUAGGUUUCGUUUGUGCAGUUUGGCUGCAGUUGGUUCGCAUGUCUCGGUGUUUUCCGGUUGCAGUUGGGAGUGUUGUCGUUAGCAUCUUCAUUUGAUUACUACCAUGCUACUUGUUGGGUUAUUUUGCAGCCAUUUCGAAUAUGCUGCCUGCUUCUAUCGGAGGUCCAUUGACAGGUUCCUGAGGUUUGUAGCAAGUGAAUGCUGUACAUUUUUUAGAUUCCUUGGAUGAUCCUUUACCAGCAGAAAGUUUGUACUAACUUCAUAACCGUAAGUGUGAAGAAUACUAGCAGGUUAUGGCUCUCCACGGGCAUCAUAGGAAGCCACUCGUUCACUGCUAGCUCCGAUAGCUUAGCAUAAUACCGUCAUCUUUGAAGGCUACCGAAGGAAUAGUAACUUUGGAAGAAAAGCAAAGCAUAUGUCAUGAUGAAACGAAAAAAAGAUCCUGACACAUGAAAGGGUGGUAGAGCAUGGUUUGUGAUAUGUAAUAUUUAAAAUAUGACAUGUAAUGCUUUAGACCUAUAGGUGCCCACUUGCCUUAAUGCAAAACUUAACGCAACAACGUAAUUAUCGUGGCCCACCUGGUAAUGAUGAAAGAACUACACAACUUGUUU
Lathyrus oleraceus (garden pea) is the source of this 1515-nucleotide long non-coding RNA. RefSeq lists it as uncharacterized. NCBI's taxonomy places the organism in Eukaryota, Viridiplantae, Streptophyta, Magnoliopsida, Fabales, Fabaceae. The record is from RefSeq and is a predicted model, not a curated record. The transcript has 2 exons.